UCCUGGAUUCUUGAUAACUUUAGUCUUUUCCUUCUCCCAUUAACCUGGGCAUGAAAAAUUUUUGUGUUUCUAUCACCAUCUUUAAACCACAACAUGCCUGCUUUUUGUUUCCAGAAUAAUUCUUCGAAUGCAAGAUAUUUAAGCAAUUCAGCUUGAACCUGUCGUAAUCUUUGUCUAUUUCUCUGAGUAGGAUUAAUUUCAAAUUGAUUUUCAUGAAUUAGUACCACCUCCUCUAGACUUGCAAUCUUCUUGAAAAUAUCUCCAUAAGUAGCUCUGCUCCAAGUAGAAAGUGCAUGUUUAAGCUUUUUUAACUUGAAGUUAAAAUUGCUGAAAGGAUUUGCACUAAAAUCACAUUCCAGGUCUCUUUCACUACAUCUUUAAAAGAUCGAAAGGAUUUGCACUAAAAUCACCAUUCCAUGUCUCUUUCACUACAUCUUUAAAAGAUUCAUGCUUUAUUCAAAAAUUAAGAAAUCUUUCAGAUUUCUUAACUGGGGAAUUAUUUAUAUUACAUUUGAGCAGCACUGGGCAAUGGUCAGAGCCUAUUUUGGACAAAUGAGUUACCUCCAAUCCAGGAAAGGUCUGUUG
RNAcentral lists this long non-coding RNA (585 nucleotides) under Nicotiana benthamiana. RNAcentral's name for it is "long non-coding RNA (NBEN_LNC038981)". Lineage: Eukaryota; Viridiplantae; Streptophyta; Magnoliopsida; Solanales; Solanaceae. The record is from RNAcentral.